Molecule: long non-coding RNA, 843 nt
Filed under: Microcebus murinus (gray mouse lemur)
Lineage: Eukaryota; Metazoa; Chordata; Mammalia; Primates; Cheirogaleidae
Description: lncRNA (ENSMICG00000048235.1)
Source: RNAcentral
GUGGGAAGAGGCUGUUACGCAUAGAGACACCAGCCCGGAGGUCCUCGGAGGCUGUGUGUGACAGGAGCAGCCCUCGGGAACAGCUGAAGAAAUCGCCCAUUUAGACGACAGGUAACUGGUUGAGAUAGAAAGUUUCCAAAUGGCACCGAAUCCAGAGUGAACUUAGUGGGUUGGGGAGCAGGAAUUUUCCAGAAAACCUUGUUUUGAAAUACAACGUCGCAUACAGAGAAGGACACAAAUCGCAAGCGUCCAGCUUGGUAAAUUCCCACCAAGCGAGCCUGCCUGCGUGGCAGAGCUCGGCCAGGACCCCCAGGCCCUUCCUGCCCAACCCAGGGCGCCACAUCCCGACUCCGAGGACCGCAGUCUGCAUCACCAAGACCUGUGCCAGUGCCUGUGAUGUCAGUAACCUGGAACGGGAGCCGCCUCGAGGGGCUGAAGGGGCAGGGCUCAUUGUGGAUGUUCUCAGCAUGCCAGGGGCCAAAGGUCUCUGUCCAAGAGGCUCAGAGCCUCUGACUUACUCCGCAGCAGGAGACGAGGCGCCCAGGCUGGGCUGGGGAGAGGAGCCCGUCGCCCCCUCUGCGGCCGUGGAGCCCACAGGCGUGACGUGGGCACAGAGAGAAUGAUGAGCCCACGCUCCAUCAUGUCUGUCAGCCCCGUGGACUCCUGUCUGGGGCUCUUCCUGGAGGUCCCCUGCUCUCCCUCUGCACGUGGCACUGCCUUGCAGCUGUGGGUGACUGUGUUCUAGGGACCUCUGGGCCACAAACCACACACAGUGCCCCCUCGAGAGCAAGCUAUUCAAUAAAGCCACGUGUGAUCCGGCUCAGUCACACAGAUAGACACGCU